UUGUGGCCAUAGCGUGAGAGACACAGGGAGAGAGGGAGACAUGCAGAGAGGUCAGUCCACCAAUCCAAAACAAGUUUGGAUCUAAUACAGUUAGGAACACCACAUGGCACCAAACAUCUUGUUCAUUUUAGUGCAUUCCCAUUCUUUGUUACUUUUUAUUUGACAGCUUGAAUAAUGAAUAUUUUGCAUUAUAUGAUACAUUUUUAGUAAAUAUACCCUACAGUAUAUAAAGUAAUUUAAAUACCAUGACCAGCUACAAGAUUAAAAUGAUGCUUACAUGUUAAUGCAUCAGCAAUUAAAAGAAUCAUUUUGAAUAUUGAAUAUUUUUAACUGUGCUUCAACUUUGUUUUACCAAAGUAUGUUUAACUCAGGGCUGCAUCAACCUGAAGCGGAGUUCAUUCCUGUAAACCAGACGAUAAUUCCCAUAAAUCCAAAAUUAAUUUCAGUUUCCAUCUGACAGGCGGAUGGGAAGUUAUUCACAUGGAAUUCCCCCCGUUUGGAAAAACCUAUUAGUCUCCAACAUACAGUAUAUCAGUCAGUCUCUCGGCGGGGAAGGCAAGGGGACAGAUGCGCGUGUUCUCGGCUCCCGAUUAUGACAGUGGUGCCGGGAAGCAUUGCAUCGUGGGACCCAGAAGUGACCGCAGUUACCAUGACAACAACAGUCAAACACGCAGAUGAUGUCCCGCUGCAAGAUUCCUCUGAUUUCCUGGUGCGUUGUGAUUCACUCACAAACUAUGUGUGAGGUGUACUGAUACACAGAGCAUCAAAGGUGUUUCAAUCGUUACAUUUCCUGUACUUUCAUUGUUUGUCAUUUGUGAGUUUAUGCUAACUUUCCCUCUGUUUCAGGUGUUACCGUCCAUUUUAUGUAUCUUUCAGCAAUGUUUAGGUUACAGAUCAAGCCACAGAGCAAGAACAAUUAGUGCUCUACACUAUGUCAUACAUAUACCAAACGUGUUGUACUGUACAUACAGUACUUUGUGUCUUAUUCAUAAACACGCUGUUUAUGGCACCUACAAGAUAGACCAAAUUUGAAUGUAUUUGCAAAGACAGGUGCUAAAAGAUUUUAAAAAAGGGUUGUUAUACAUUAUAACCUCUCAGCAUCUGACUCAUUACAAAUACAUUCCGGUUUGUUCGGUCUAUCUUGUAGAUACCAUAAACAGACAGAUUAUAUAACUUGUUGAACACGUCCCGCUACAUUCGAUAAAAAUUGAACACUUAAUUAAAGUAGUUAUUAAUUUACCAUAGUGGUAUUCUAAUAAACAAUUUAUCAUAAUAAUCUUAUCUUAUACUUCUAUAAACAGGAUUGAUAAAAUGUAUAAGAACUUUUGUGGAAAGAUUAGACAAAAUACUUUCAAGAGCAGGAAAAUAAUCAAGUCCAGACCCAACAAUAAGGAAAAAAGGAUUAAAAAAAUUAUCCAAAGCCAGUCUUGCUGGUCUCACAGCCAAGACGCACUUAGACACAUGGCGAGCAGGAAGGACAGCAGACUCACUAUACAGUGAUGAUGACUCUAUUCAAGUGAAAGUAGCUACUAUCUACCCAAAAAGUUAUUAGAUUUAGGAUAUCCUCUGUUUUUAAAUAAAGUAAAAUUAGUUGCAAAAUCUAGUGACAUAGGUAAAUUGGCUAAACAGGAAUGGGUCACCUUGAAACUUUCAUGCACAUACAUGUCUACUAUGUGUCAAUAUUCCGUAAGUAAGGGGCAUUUACUGGCUGCUGCAAAAAAAAAAAAGAAAAAAGAUUUUCUCAGGCAAGACAUUUCUCUGUGUCGGGUUGUAAUGGUUAAGUGCCUCAUAUCCUUUUCAUUCUAGACUGAGGAAAACAACUUAAAGGGCUGUGCUCUCACUCUCACUCUCAGGUUGCAUUUUGGCUCCAGGUCAUAAGUCACCUGCAGAGUGAUCUCUGUACUGGAAAAUGCUUCAAAUGCAAACAGAAAUUUCUCCACAAUGUUGUUUUAAAGAAAAAAAAAUUAGUAGUAUUAUGGCUGAUUUUAAUUCAUUUUAGGGAUUGUGGUUUUGAAAAAUACCUGUAGUUUCUCAGGACAAAGUGAGCUGGUUUGUGGGGGUUUUUUAAAAAUCAGAAGAAAAGCAGCGAUGAUGGAGCUGUUGAUGACAGCUGUUGAUGUAAAACAGGUCUUUCAAAAGAACAAAUCUGUGGGAACAUUGGCAGGUAUCAGUGAGAACAACAGACUCCUUACUAAGGAAAAAAGACUAGGUUAAAAGUCAGACAUGCAGCAACUGAUCAUAUCUGUUUCAUAUCCGAUUUGUGGUUUUAUAGGCUUGUUUCUGCUGUAUUUCUCUCUAUUAGAUGAUUAUAUUACCACACCAGUUUUUUUUCUGCUUGUUUCAGCACAUUUGCUACAAAGUUUUACUGUAACGUACUUAGAUUUGGAAAGCUCUUCUAAGAAGAUCCAAUAUUGAAGACUUCAGACUCAAACAGCAGCCUGCCUAAACUGAACAUUAACCUGUUAUUCCAUACUUGAUCCUAAAUUGUCUCAUUUGUUCCAAAAAAUUGAAAUAGUUGGCAGUAUCUUAUAUUCUGUUCUGUAUGAUCAGUAUCUUCAGUGGGGAGGGGAGUUUAUCAGUGUUACAGUUUUGUUUACUAUCUCUACUGACAGCAUCAUUCAACCAUGAAUAGUAGAUAACAUAGCUUCUUCUUAACAGAGCAUGCAUUACCGCUUUAACACAAACACAACAGACAUCAAAUAGGACUCAUGACAUUUAGUCAUUUGUUCAUUCUCACUUUUGCAUUUGAAUUUAGUUCUGUUUGCAGCAUGCAUGCACACAUGCACACGUCCUACAUGCGGCUUUGCACAGUGACAGGCAGACAUGAGGGUGUGACUUUUAAACACAUCCUGGAAUAGGUUGUUGCUUAAUAUCCUUGAGUGAAAACUACAUUACAGGGACAAUUUCCCAUAAACUGUGUUGCAACACAUUUUAUGAAUGGAAACGUUUUAACCAACAUUAGGGGUGUAGAUUCAAAAAGCGAACCAAAAACAGGAAUUUAACUAAGCUUGUGUAAUAUCACAUCCUUCGUUGGAGAUAAUGUGGCAAUGGUUUAAAGGCCUCCACUCAGGCUGUUAUAGUAGCAGAUUAAUGCCAUUGGUUUUGGAAUGCAAUAUUUUUGACUUUUUGUGUGGGUGUAUUGUAUAUCUUUUACCCUGGCUGUCUGCUUUAAAAGUAUCGCAUAGGGUUUUCCUUGCAGGUUGGAGCAUCAUCUCAUUAAGUUAAACCAUGCCUGUAAGCUGCCAUGUAGAAAUGCGUCACCAUCUUUGGCAAUAAACAUUUUCCACUGACAAAAACUCCACGUUAAUAAGCUGGGUCAUGUGUACGCCCUUGUCCAAUAUCUGCAUAUUCUGCUCUUUAGUCUUAAGAUGUUACUCUCUUGCUUUCACUCCUUCACUGCCCUCACUACUCUGCUACGCUGAAUGCAUUUUUGCUUGCUCAGUCUACCUCCACAGCUUCCAAUCCCUGAGGGGGGAUUGGCAGUAAUUUCUCCCUGAGGGCUCGUCUGCUGCUCAGUAUGUUUCACAGAAGUUAAAAUACACUGAGCACAGAUGCCAAAAGUAAAUUGCAUUGACCUUUUUCUGUAAACUCUACAUGUGUAAGAUCCAAACCAGACUUUGUUUUCCUUAACAGAAGCUGAACCACCAUCUUUUUCCACAGUUUUUUGUGUAAAUAAAAACAGCAAUGUACUGUGACUUGUUAUGACAUGAGAUGUAAGUUUCUGUGUGUGUGUAUGUGUUUGAGCGUGACUCUGUUUUUCCCAAAGUAAUCUAUGUGUGUGGUAAAUAUCCCGAAGAAACAGGGAAAACCAACAGCACUUAAACUAAACAUUUCCACCAAAAAAUGGACUUUACCAAAACAUUCAUUUUGUAGUGUAGGGACACUCUGACAGUGAAAGUUGUUUCUUUUCUGUCUUCCAUUUGAACUUAUCGAGUCUCAUUCUUUCCAUUUUGCAAUAAUGUUCCAUUUUCAGAAAUUGACAUAAGGUAAUAGUGUCCAUGUUCAUGAGUUGUCAUUUGGAGCUUUUAAAAAAGCAUCAAAGGCAUGCCAAUGAAGUGAUUGUGCAAUGUGGUUUUUAAAAGGGGGGAAAGGACUCUAAUAAAAGACUAAUCCUUUAUAUAAAAGUUUCUUAAGGGGCAGACUUGACAACAACUGUGUUUCAUUUGUUACAGCAUGGGGCAAAUAUUCGAAAGUAUCUAAUCAUAAAGCCCUUCCAUAGUGAUAAGCAAUAUGCUAACAGGGUUACAGAGGUUGAUGGAUGUACACUACUGUAGUGGAAUUUUUAACUGGACAAUGAAGGAGGAAAAUAAAGUUCAUUUGAUAGCCAGAAAUGCCUGACUAAAGUAGGUCAUCACAGGUGUUAUGAGGAGGAAUGAGGAGGAUUGUUAAUAACAAACACAAGGAAAAAAUGGAUAGACGUGAGCUUAUAUAUGUAUGUCAUGAUAUAAUAUUUUGUCAGUUUCUUUGAUUUCUACAGUUGAGAUGCUUUUGGGAAACGGGGCCCCUGAGUGGAAAGUCAUAUCUCAACCUGGUGGCGCCAUCUAGUGGUUAUUCUACAAGAUAAAAGAAAAGAUACGACUCAAACAGGCGGUGGAAGCAGACUGCAAAACCAACCUGCUGCAGUAAAUUAAUGAAACUGAAACAAGCAUGGAGGCUGAUAAUGAGAUUCUUGAUUGCUAUCCCAGUUUGCAACAGUGUCAGCAGUACUCUGGCAUUAGCGGAUGGCCAAUAGCUUCCACAAACUUCUAAGUGACUGCUGUUCUACUGAGUGCUUUUACAAUGAAAUAUUACACCUAUAAUCAAGGCUUUUUUCGUGGCCUAGCGUCUUCUAUAUUUCAUUACAAUUCAUUUAAUCUGCUUUAAUUUUGUGAGUAGCUUGUAAACAAUUUUUUUUUCCUAUGAGUUCAGUGGACAACACAGAGUCGGUAUA
Long non-coding RNA from Thunnus maccoyii (southern bluefin tuna), 4930 nucleotides. RefSeq lists it as uncharacterized. NCBI's taxonomy places the organism in Eukaryota, Metazoa, Chordata, Actinopteri, Scombriformes, Scombridae. The transcript has 3 exons. The record is from RefSeq and is a predicted model, not a curated record.